This 449-nucleotide ribosomal RNA is filed under the name uncultured bacterium. RNAcentral describes it as "partial 16S ribosomal RNA". It matches the Rfam family "Bacterial small subunit ribosomal RNA", at positions 29 to 523 of the family's 1533-position model. The record is from RNAcentral.
AACGUACGCUGGCGGCACGCCUAACACAUGCAAGUCGAACGCAGUAGCAAUACUGAGUGGCAGACGGGUGAGUAACAUGUGGGAAUCUGCCUUGUGGUUCAGGACAACAUUGGGAAACCGAUGCUAAUACUGGAUAAGCCCUUACGGGGAAAGUUUUAAUGCCAUAAGAUGAGCCUGCAUUUGAUUAGUUAGUAGGUGAGGUAAUGGCUCACCAAGACAAUGAUCAAUAGCUGAUCUGAGAGGAUGAUCAGCCACACUGGGACUGAGACACGGCCCAGACUCCUACGGGAGGCAGCAGUGGGGAAUCUUGCACAAUGGAGGAAACUCUGAUGCAGCGAUGCCGCGUGAGUGAAGAAGGCCUUUGGGUUGUAAAGCUCUUUUGUAGGGGAAGAUAAUGACUGUACCCUAAGAAUAAGGUCCGGCUAACUUCGUACCAGCAGCCGCCGUAA